GUUUACUCUGCUCAGUACUGAACAUAUAUCCGCAGUGGAUAACAUGGGAGGUUCACCCUUAUGAGGAGGAGGCCCAUCUGAUGUGAGAUCGCAGACUGGAAGGCAAAUAAAGGGGCUGGAAAGCCGUGUCUGAACCUGCGCGUCUCAGCCUUACGAGCGCGCCCGCUCUUCUUCCUGUCUGCUACCUCCUUGCCAAGUCAGUAACUGCUCCCUGCUCCGACUGACGGUUUGAUGUACCAUGGAUGACAUUACCAAAAAAAAAA
Molecule: non-coding RNA, 263 nt
Organism: Electrophorus electricus (electric eel)
Lineage: Eukaryota; Metazoa; Chordata; Actinopteri; Gymnotiformes; Gymnotidae
Source: RefSeq, a predicted model, not a curated record